This 253-nucleotide ribosomal RNA is filed under the name uncultured bacterium. RNAcentral describes it as "partial 16S ribosomal RNA". It matches the Rfam family "Bacterial small subunit ribosomal RNA", at positions 524 to 776 of the family's 1533-position model. The record is from RNAcentral.
UACAGAGGUCCCGAGCGUUGUUCGGAUUCACUGGGCGUAAAGGGUGCGUAGGUGGUGAGGUAAGUCGGAUGUGAAAUCUCCAGGCUCAACCUGGAAACUGCAUUGGAAACUACCUUGCUAGAGGGUUUGAGGGGGGACUGGAAUUCUCGGUGUAGCAGUGAAAUGCGUAGAUAUCGAGAGGAACACCAGUGGCGAAGGCGAGUCCCUGGAAAACACCUGACACUGAGGCACGAAAGCUAGGGGAGCAAACAGG